This 497-nucleotide ribosomal RNA is filed under the name uncultured bacterium. RNAcentral describes it as "partial 16S ribosomal RNA". It matches the Rfam family "Bacterial small subunit ribosomal RNA", at positions 28 to 507 of the family's 1533-position model. The record is from RNAcentral.
GAUGAACGCUGGCGGCGUGCCUAAUACAUGCAAGUCGAGCGAACAGACGAGGAGCUUGCUCCUCUGACGUUAGCGGCGGACGGGUGAGUAACACGUGGAUAACCUACCUAUAAGACUGGGAUAACUUCGGGAAACCGGAGCUAAUACCGGAUAAUAUAUUGAACCGCAUGGUUCAAUAGUGAAAGACGGUUUUGCUGUCACUUAUAGAUGGAUCCGCGCCGCAUUAGCUAGUUGGUAAGGUAACGGCUUACCAAGGCAACGAUGCGUAGCCGACCUGAGAGCGUGAUCGGACACACUGGAACUGAGACACGGUCCAGACUCCUACGGGAGGCAGCAGUAGGGAAUCUUCCGCAAUGGGCGAAAGCCUGACGGAGCAACGCCGCGUGAGUGAUGAAGGUCUUCGGAUCGUAAAACUCUGUUAUUAGGGAAGAACAAAUGUGUAAGUAACUAUGCUCGUCUUGACGGUACCUAAUCAGAAAGCCACGGCUAACUACGUG